This 363-nucleotide unclassified non-coding RNA is filed under the name uncultured bacterium. RNAcentral's name for it is "contains 16S-23S intergenic spacer region". The record is from RNAcentral.
UCCCCGUUACCGGGGCAGUUUGAAUAGAAAAAUACAACUAUUCACAAGGGUUGCGCUCGUUGAUGGACUUAACCAAACAUCUCACGACACGAGCUGACGACGGCCAUGCAAGAUCUGUCACCGAGUUCAAUUAAGCACUCUCGCCUUUCGGCAAAAUUCUCGGGAUGUCAAGCCCUGGUAAGGUUUAUCGUUUAUCAUCGAAUUAAAGAACACAAUCCACCGCUUGUGCGGGUCCCCGUCAAUUCCUUUAUGUUUUAGUCUUGCGACCGUACUCCACAGGCGGGAUACUUAACGCGUUAGCUUCGCUACUGGGGGGGUCGAUACCCCCAACAGCUAGUAUCCAUAGUUUACGGCGUGGACUAC